Molecule: non-coding RNA, 1136 nt
Organism: Podarcis lilfordi (Lilford's wall lizard)
Lineage: Eukaryota; Metazoa; Chordata; Lepidosauria; Squamata; Lacertidae
Source: the annotation of a GenBank genome assembly
GUCUAAUGCUAAAGGGGGGAGAAAAAAGUAGGCUAACAGUUGGUUAAAGCAUGUGCCAGUAGCUGAACUGCUGGGGUGCCACAAAAAUAUUAAUUAAUGGCCCAGGGGAGUUCACACACACACACAACCAGCCCCUCGUUCCACAGCCUGUGCAAGUGUGUCUGCAAAAGGCAAAGCUCUGAUCCGCCCCCUUUCUAGCCAGCCUUCCCCAGCGCCAAAGAAUUCCACAUUCUCCCUGCAGCAGGUGAGAUCAGCUUUUUCAGAUUCAGAGAAAGAGGACUGCCUGCCCUCACAGGAGGUCAGUCGGGUAUCCGCACGAGGCGAUGUGCCAAGUUUACGUACAGAGAUGCAAGAGACAAACGGCUCUACCAAUGGGUCGUUGAAAGUUUUCAGAUAAAGAAAUGUGCUUGUGCUUAGUUACCAGCGCAACUGAUACCAGCGUACCGCCCUUCUCGCCCUUCUUAGAAAGCUGCCUGGGGCCUACAGAACACGGAGGGAGGUGAAGUCUGUAGGCAAGGCAGUGGCAUUUCCCAAAGGAAAAGGAAGAACAAGCUGUGGCCAUUAGGGCUCCCGACUUCCUGCCCUGAGCAUGGCUUGUCCUUCAGAAAGGAGCAAUGGCCCACCUUACAUCUUACCUGGAUGCCUUCCGCUGGGACAGAAAAGCAGAAGCAGGUAACUUCAAGCCGAGAAGCCUGAGUUCAAGGGCUGGGCCAGAUUGUCACUCCACAGCACUCGGCAGGCCUCAACUCCUGCUGGGAGUUGUGGCCCAUAAGUCUCUGGAAGGCCCAGGCUGCCCAAGACAGACCUAAUAUGUUUGCUCUACCUGCCCUGUUUCUUUCUAUGCUCUAGGCAACGUGUCCCAAUAUGCAUCCACCUCCACAGGUGGAAAGUUCUCCAAGGCACUGAGGUCAAGCGAUGGCCAGCCUUCCACGGACACAGGAAGCUACCCUGGUCUAUCUGGGGAAAAAGCAAUGCUGCCCAGGUUUGUAAAGACUGCGGAGAGAAUAAUUGGGUGCACUCUUCCCACCUUGGAUCAAAUCUAUGCUUCCAGGUGUCAUAAGAAAGCUGCAGAGAUAGUGCAGGAUAGUGCGUACCCCGGAAAUGAUGUCUUUCAGCUUCUGCCUUCUGGAGGAAGG